This 478-nucleotide ribosomal RNA is filed under the name uncultured bacterium. RNAcentral describes it as "partial 16S ribosomal RNA". It matches the Rfam family "Bacterial small subunit ribosomal RNA", at positions 28 to 523 of the family's 1533-position model. The record is from RNAcentral.
GACGAACGCUGGCGGCGUGCUUAACACAUGCAAGUCGAACGGUAAGGCCCUUCGGGGUACACGAGUGGCGAACGGGUGAGUAACACGUGGGUGAUCUGCCCUGCACUUCGGGAUAAGCCUGGGAAACUGGGUCUAAUACCGGAUAGGACCACUGCCUGCAUGGGUGGUGGUGGAAAGCUGUUGCGGUGUGGGAUGGGCCCGCGGCCUAUCAGCUUGUUGGUGGGGUGAUGGCCUACCAAGGCGACGACGGGUAGCCGGCCUGAGAGGGUGACCGGCCACACUGGGACUGAGAUACGGCCCAGACUCCUACGGGAGGCAGCAGUGGGGAAUAUUGCACAAUGGGCGCAAGCCUGAUGCAGCGACGCCGCGUGAGGGAUGACGGCCUUCGGGUUGUAAACCUCUUUCAGCACCGACGAAGCGCAAGUGACGGUAGGUGCAGAAGAAGCACCGGCUAACUACGUGCCAGCCGCCGCCGUAA